AUCCAGACUCCUACGGGAGGCAGCAGUGGGGGAUAUUGCACAAUGGGGGGAACCCUGAUGCAGCGACGCCGCGUGGGUGAAGGAGUAUUUCGGUACGUAAAGCCCUAUCAGCAGGAAAGAAAAUGACGGUACCUGACUAAGAAGCCCCGGCUAACUACGUGCCAGCAGCCGCGGUAAUACGUAGGGGGCAAGCGUUAUCCGGAUUUACUGGGUGUAAAGGGAGCGUAGACGGCAGUGCAAGUCCGGAGUGAAAGCCCGGGGCUCAACCCUGGGACUGCUCUGGAAACUGUAAAGCUGGAGUGCGGGAGGGGCAGGCGGAAUUCCUAGUGUAGCGGUGAAAUGCGUAGAUAUUAGGAGGAACACCAGUGGCGAAGGCGGCCUGCUGGGCUUUUACUGACGCUGAGGCUCGAAAGUGUGGGGAGCAAACAGGAUUAGAUACCCCGGUAGG
RNAcentral lists this ribosomal RNA (448 nucleotides) under uncultured bacterium. RNAcentral describes it as "bacterial SSU rRNA". It matches the Rfam family "Bacterial small subunit ribosomal RNA", at positions 329 to 794 of the family's 1533-position model. The record is from RNAcentral.